UUAGGCUCCCAAAGGCAC
RNAcentral lists this small nuclear RNA (18 nucleotides) under Arabidopsis thaliana (thale cress). RNAcentral's name for it is "snRNA_10106". The record is from RNAcentral. Lineage: Eukaryota; Viridiplantae; Streptophyta; Magnoliopsida; Brassicales; Brassicaceae.